AGUGAACGCUGGCGGUAGGCCUAACACAUGCAAGUCGAACGGCAGCACAGUAAGAGCUUGCUCUUACGGGUGGCGAGUGGCGGACGGGUGAGGAAUACAUCGGAAUCUACUUUUUCGUGGGGGCUAACGUAGGGAAACUUACGCUAAUACCGCAUACGACCUACGGGUGAAAGCAGGGGAUCUUCGGACCUUGCGCGAUUGAAUGAGCCGAUGUCGGAUUAGGUAGUUGGCGGGGUAAAGGCCCACCAAGGCGACGAUCCGUAGCUGGGCUGAGAGGAUGGUCGCCCGCCAGGGAAGUUGGACACCGGCCAGGCUCCUACGGGAGGGAGCAGUGGGGAACAUUGGGCAAUGGGGGGAAACCUGAUCCAACCAGACCGCGUCGGUUAAAGAAGCCUUCGGGUUGUAAAGCCCUUUUGUUGGGAAAGAAAAGCAGCAGGUUAAUACCCCGCUGUUCUGACGGUACCCAAAGAAUAAGCACCGGCUAACUUCGUG
Molecule: ribosomal RNA, 492 nt
Filed under: uncultured bacterium
Lineage: Bacteria
Description: partial 16S ribosomal RNA
Rfam family: Bacterial small subunit ribosomal RNA
Source: RNAcentral